This is a long non-coding RNA of Mustela erminea (ermine), 2701 nucleotides long. RefSeq lists it as uncharacterized. The transcript has 3 exons. NCBI's taxonomy places the organism in Eukaryota, Metazoa, Chordata, Mammalia, Carnivora, Mustelidae. The record is from RefSeq and is a predicted model, not a curated record.
UCAAGAUAGGAAAUAGCCCUUCCUAUCAAGUCCUGGGAGUCAUCCUCCGAACUUGGAAGGCAGGGUAGUGCAUACCUUUUCUUCUCAGCUCUGGAUUCUGGGGAUCGUUUCCCUUUCAGGAUAAACAGGGAAGGUCCCACACGUCACCUUCUCCUGCCAAGUCCUGCCACCCUUUCCCUACAAGCCGCAGUGCUAACCUUUUUCCCUCAGUUAGUCUUGUACCCCUCUACUAGCUAGGAAUUAAGACUCCCUGCCUUUUCAGAGCAGGAAGUAAUCCAACCAAGGUCACAUAGCCGGAAGUGGUAAGCGAAGACUCAGCACCCUGACCAGCCUGUCCCCAGUCAGCAAAUUUUUCAGCAUCCAGAGGGUGACCUCCAGAGUACCAGACCUGGGCUCACUGCCCCUCUGCAUUUGCUUGAUGGAAACCCCUUCUCUGUCCCGGAGCCUCUGGUCAGAGAGCCGUCUGAGCUCCUGGGACCGGAGAUGCUGGGUCUUGCGGUGAUUUCUGGCCCCAGUGAACAGAAGAGGCCCUGUGCUGAGCAUCCCUAUGGAGAAGGGCGUGUAGCAGAGGAACCGAAGCCGCCUGCCAAGAGCUGUGUGAGCGAGCUUGUGGUAAGUGGGUCCUUCAGUCCCAGUCAAAGCCUUCGGGCGUCUGCAGCCUUGGCUUGCUGCUUGACCACAAACUCAUGAGAGACCUUGAUCCAGGGUCCCCCAGCUAAGCAACCUUCCGAUUCUGCCUCUCAGAAGUUGUGUGGGAUGAUAAAUGCUUAGUGCUUUAAGCCAUUACAUUUUGGGAAUUAUUUGUUCGGGAGCUCUAAGUGAUGCAUACAAUAUUUCAGUAAACUGAACAUGUGGGGAGAACAGCUUCUAAGUGCGCUUGGUCCAGCUGGCUUUCCAGAGGACCUCCAAGCGCUUUCUGUGACUCAGACUUCUGGGCUCAGUGUCUGGAACAGAGAGACGAGAGGCCUGGAGCUCUGUCUAGACAUCAGGAAUGGGUGUCUCCAACAUAGCCACGGCAUCUACCCCCGGCCCCAGCUCCGAAACAGCUGCACACGGCACCCAGCCUGCAACUGCUGUGGGGAGAAGACUCCAGAAAUGUUCCUCCAUCCCUCGCCCGCACCCCCCGGCCUCACGCCCAGGUCUACCUGCAGGAAUCCACACAGGUCUCAGAAGCGAAUCACAGCUACUAUUUUUGGAACAAUUCUUAUGUGACAGGUGAUAUGCAAAGCGCCUGGCGUGCAUCUUUUAAUUUAUUCUUCCCACCAUAUCAGAUAUUCCUGAAUCUAUUUUACAGUGGAGGAAACAGAGACCCUGAAGCCACCUGCCUUGGAUCCUAGAGCUACUAGGGCGUGGCUGCUUUAGACUUCAAUUUGGAUUUGUCUAGUUCCCCCACUGAGAGGCCAGGAAGCAACCCUAGACCUGAAAAUACUUUUCUUAUCUGUUCUCUGCAAGAGAAAUCCCCUGCGCAUUCCUCCAUCAGAGAAAAGGCCACAAUCUCAACCCAGAUUCCCCAGAGCGAUGAUAUAAAGAGCUUGGGAGUGUGUGGGGGGUGAUGGGAGGGGUGGUGGGGUGGUGAUGGUCAUAUUCCAGAGCCAGGAAUCUCAGAGAUCACGGGAAUCACAGAGAGCAGGGGACUGAGAUCCAGAAAGGGAAGCGACUCUUCCAAGGACUCCAGCAGCCCAGGGCUCUUUCUACUGCACUGCCCUGCCUCUGUCACACAGAGGAGAAUUGUCACCUUGUGGGAGAAGCAUAACAGGGUAAUGGCUUUGGGGGAGGGGAAUGAGAGAGAAAGGGAAGUCAAAGGUAACAAUGGCAAAAUUGAGAUCUGCUAAUUUUGUCUUGGGUCAAGUCUACAAUGGCCAGGGGCUAUGGAACCAGCAUCACAGAUGGUCCCACUGAGAGCCUCAGCAGCCCCAGAGGACAUCACAGAACAUCUCUGAGAACAGCGCCUGGCUUGUGGCAGGACCUGCUGAAAAGCACUGUUACUCAUUUGCUGUGACGUUAGGUUGCCCUAGUCAUUCAUUCAUUCAUUCAUUCAUUCUUUCAUUUGUUAAUUCCCUAAGUAUUUAUUGACGGUCUGCUAUCUGCUAAGUACUGUUUUAGGAGCAUGGGUUAUUUCAGUGAACACAAGAUCCUUGUCCUUAUAAAGUUUACAAUACAUAGACAAUAUAUAAAUUCCAACUAACCUAGAAAGUGAAAGGUGUAAAAGAAGAAAAAUUAAAGAGGGGCUAAGACCUGAGAAUGAAAACUGCAUAUGGAGGGCGUGGGUUGAUGUCUUUUCAAGGUGGAUUGGGUCAGCCUACUUGAGGAGUAUAGUGAGUACGAACCUUUAAUAAAUAAAGUGUAAUAAAUAAAUGAAUAAAUAAAUAAAUAAUAUGUAGUAAGUGCAAACCCCUAUUAAAUGAAAAACAGGAACAAGUUGCAAACUAACCACAUAACAAGUAAGCCUGGACCAUAUGCGUGUAGUGAUAACAAACUAACCUCAUAGCAAAUACCACAUAGCAAGUAAGCCUAGACCAUAUGCGUGUAGUGAUAAGAUUGGCGCGGAGUAACAAGUUGUAAAUAUUUUAACUUGUGCGAAAUAUCGUAGACCAAAACAUGUUUACGACGUGUGUAUGUUUUCGGUGUGUAAGCAUAAGAAAAACAAGUGAUGUAAUAUGUUUAUGAAGGAGACUUAGCACAGUAUAUAAAGAGGCAUCGG